Molecule: ribosomal RNA, 1511 nt
Filed under: Salmonella enterica subsp. enterica serovar Give
Lineage: Bacteria; Pseudomonadati; Pseudomonadota; Gammaproteobacteria; Enterobacterales; Enterobacteriaceae
Description: bacterial SSU rRNA
Rfam family: Bacterial small subunit ribosomal RNA
Source: RNAcentral
GUUUGAAACCUUGCUCAGAUUGAACGCUGGCGGCAGGCCUAACACAUGCAAGUCGAACGGUAACAGGAAGCAGCUUGCUGCUUUGCUGACGAGUGGCGGACGGGUGAGUAAUGUCUGGGAAACUGCCUGAUGGAGGGGGAUAACUACUGGAAACGGUGGCUAAUACCGCAUAACGUCGCAAGACCAAAGAGGGGGACCUUCGGGCCUCUUGCCAUCAGAUGUGCCCAGAUGGGAUUAGCUUGUUGGUGAGGUAACGGCUCACCAAGGCGACGAUCCCUAGCUGGUCUGAGAGGAUGACCAGCCACACUGGAACUGAGACACGGUCCAGACUCCUACGGGAGGCAGCAGUGGGGAAUAUUGCACAAUGGGCGCAAGCCUGAUGCAGCCAUGCCGCGUGUAUGAAGAAGGCCUUCGGGUUGUAAAGUACUUUCAGCGGGGAGGAAGGUGUUGUGGUUAAUAACCGCAGCAAUUGACGUUACCCGCAGAAGAAGCACCGGCUAACUCCGUGCCAGCAGCCGCGGUAAUACGGAGGGUGCAAGCGUUAAUCGGAAUUACUGGGCGUAAAGCGCACGCAGGCGGUCUGUCAAGUCGGAUGUGAAAUCCCCGGGCUCAACCUGGGAACUGCAUUCGAAACUGGCAGGCUUGAGUCUUGUAGAGGGGGGUAGAAUUCCAGGUGUAGCGGUGAAAUGCGUAGAGAUCUGGAGGAAUACCGGUGGCGAAGGCGGCCCCCUGGACAAAGACUGACGCUCAGGUGCGAAAGCGUGGGGAGCAAACAGGAUUAGAUACCCUGGUAGUCCACGCCGUAAACGAUGUCUACUUGGAGGUUGUGCCCUUGAGGCGUGGCUUCCGGAGCUAACGCGUUAAGUAGACCGCCUGGGGAGUACGGCCGCAAGGUUAAAACUCAAAUGAAUUGACGGGGGCCCGCACAAGCGGUGGAGCAUGUGGUUUAAUUCGAUGCAACGCGAAGAACCUUACCUGGUCUUGACAUCCACGGAAGUUUUCAGAGAUGGGAAAUGUGCCUUCGGGAACCGUGAGACAGGUGCUGCAUGGCUGUCGUCAGCUCGUGUUGUGAAAUGUUGGGGUUAAGUCCCGCAACGAGCGCAACCCUUAUCCUUUGUUGCCAGCGGUCCGGCCGGGAACUCAAAGGAGACUGCCAGUGAUAAACUGGAGGAAGGUGGGGGAUGACGUCAAGUCAUCAUGGCCCUUACGACCAGGGCUACACACGUGCUACAAUGGCGCAUACAAAGAGAAGCGACCUCGCGAGAGCAAGCGGACCUCAUAAAGUGCGUCGUAGUCCGGAUUGGAGUCUGCAACUCGACUCCAUGAAGUCGGAAUCGCUAGUAAUCGUGGAUCAGAAUGCCACGGUGAAUACGUUCCCGGGCCUUGUACACACCGCCCGUCACACCAUGGGAGUGGGUUGCAAAAGAAGUAGGUAGCUUAACCUUCGGGAGGGCGCUUACCACUUUGUGAUUCAUGACUGGGGGUGAAGUCGUAACAGGGGUAAGCGCGUA